CAAAAGGCUUUUCUGGGCAGUUAAAGCCACAAAGUCACCUUUAAAAAUAAAU
Non-coding RNA from Leptosomus discolor (cuckoo roller), 52 nucleotides. The record is from Rfam. NCBI's taxonomy places the organism in Eukaryota, Metazoa, Chordata, Aves, Leptosomiformes, Leptosomidae.